AGUUCUGCAAACACAUCCUGCAGCAGAUCGACGACGCCAGCAGAGCGCUGAGGACUCGUUGGUUUAUUCUGCACCGACUUUUUCUAAGAUUAGAACGGACAAAAGAGAGAAGAGAAAAGUUAAAGCAGCAACAGAAGAGACGAUCUACACCGGGGUCAGAACUCCUCCGACUGGCUAAAUAAAAGAUAUGCUUAAAACAUUAAAUAAUUGAUUUGUAUAUUUUUAAAGACUGUGAGAAAUGUAAAACCUUGCAGCAAUGUGACAAUAAGAAGAGAAUAUCCUUUGUAAUUUUUGAACUGUGUAUGAUUUGACAUGUUUUGACUCAUCUGUGUUCAGUCAUUGUUAGAUUGGUUUUAUCACCAAAGGUAGAGUAUUAGCACCAUAAACAAUAUAUGCAGUCGUGCACUAAACUAAA
This is a non-coding RNA of Labrus bergylta (ballan wrasse), 415 nucleotides long. NCBI's taxonomy places the organism in Eukaryota, Metazoa, Chordata, Actinopteri, Labriformes, Labridae. The record is from RefSeq and is a predicted model, not a curated record.